Molecule: ribosomal RNA, 694 nt
Filed under: Sulfurovum sp.
Lineage: Bacteria; Pseudomonadati; Campylobacterota; Epsilonproteobacteria; Campylobacterales; Sulfurovaceae
Description: partial 23S ribosomal RNA
Rfam family: Bacterial large subunit ribosomal RNA
Source: RNAcentral
GUUAUAUGGUCAAGUGAAUAAGCGCAUACGGUGGAUGCCUUGGCGAUAAGAGGCGAUGAAGGACGUGGCAGCCUGCGAAAAGCGACGGGGAGCUGGCAACAAGCUUUGAUCCGUUGAUGUCCGAAUGGGGAAACCCGGCCGCAAGGUCAUCCCUUGACUGAAUACAUAGGUCUUGGGAAGCGAACGUGGGGAACUGAAACAUCUAAGUACCCACAGGAACAGAAAUCAACCGAGAUUCCCUCAGUAGUGGCGAGCGAACGGGGAAAAGCCAGUGCUCUUUAGCAUUUGAUCUAGUGGAAUGGUCUGGAAAGGCCAGCGAUAGAGGGUGAUAGCCCCGUACACGAAAGACAAAUGUGGAACUAGGUGCACGACAAGUAGGGCGGGACACGUGAAAUCCUGUCUGAAGAUGGGGGGACCAUCCUCCAAGGCUAAAUACUACUUAUCGACCGAUAGUGAACUAGUACCGUGAGGGAAAGGCGAAAAGAACCCCGGCGAGGGGAGUGAAAUAGAACCUGAAACCGUAUGCGUACAAGCAGUGGGAGCCCCUUCGUGGGGUGACUGCGUACCUUUUGUAUAAUGGGUCAGCGACUUACUUCUCAGUGGCGAGCUUAACCGAAUAGGGGAGGCGUAGCGAAAGCGAGUCUGAAUAGGGCGGUCAGUCGCUGGGAGUAGACCCGAAACCGGAGCGAGCGAU